This 447-nucleotide ribosomal RNA is filed under the name Aeribacillus sp. E08D025. Its description in RNAcentral is "bacterial SSU rRNA". It matches the Rfam family "Bacterial small subunit ribosomal RNA", at positions 95 to 526 of the family's 1533-position model. Lineage: Bacteria; Bacillati; Bacillota; Bacilli; Caryophanales; Bacillaceae. RNAcentral also lists the same sequence under 2 other names. The record is from RNAcentral.
GCGGCGGACGGGUGAGUAACACGUGGGCAACCUGCCCUGCAGACUGGGAUAACUUCGGGAAACCGGAGCUAAUACCGGAUAACACCGAAAACCGCAUGGUUUUCGGUUGAAAGGCGGCUUUUAGCUGUCACUGCAGGAUGGGCCCGCGGCGCAUUAGCUAGUUGGUGAGGUAACGGCUCACCAAGGCGACGAUGCGUAGCCGACCUGAGAGGGUGACCGGCCACACUGGGACUGAGACACGGCCCAGACUCCUACGGGAGGCAGCAGUAGGGAAUCUUCCGCAAUGGACGAAAGUCUGACGGAGCAACGCCGCGUGAGCGAAGAAGGUCUUCGGAUCGUAAAGCUCUGUUGUCAGGGAAGAACAAGUNCCGUUCGAACAGGGCGGUACCUUGACGGUACCUGACGAGGAAGCCACGGCUAACUACGUGCCAGCAGCCGCGGUAAUAC